RNAcentral lists this ribosomal RNA (520 nucleotides) under uncultured Glomus. RNAcentral's name for it is "SSU rRNA". It matches the Rfam family "Eukaryotic small subunit ribosomal RNA", at positions 569 to 1094 of the family's 1831-position model. Lineage: Eukaryota; Fungi; Glomeromycota; Glomeromycetes; Glomerales; Glomeraceae. The record is from RNAcentral.
AGCAGCCGCGGUAAUUCCAGCUCCAAUAGCGUAUAUUAAAGUUGUUGCAGUUAAAAAGCUCGUAGUUGAAUUUCGGGAUUAGUACGUUGGUCGUGCCUUAGGUACGUACUGGUGUUACUGGUUCCUACCUUCUGACGAACCAUCAUGUCAUUAAUUUGGUGUGGCGGGGAAUCAGGACUGUUACUUUGAAAAAUUAGAGUGUUUAAAGCAGGCUCGCGCUUGAAUACAUUAGCAUGGAAUAAUGAAAUAGGACGUUGACCCUAUUUUGUUGGUUUCUAGGAUUGACGUAAUGAUUAAUAGGGAUAGUUGGGGGCAUUAGUAUUCAAUUGUCAGAGGUGAAAUUCUUGGAUUUAUUGAAGACUAACUACUGCGAAAGCAUUUGCCAAGGAUGUUUUCAUUAAUCAAGAACGAAAGUUAGGGGAUCGAAGACGAUCAGAUACCGUCGUAGUCUUAACCAUAAACUAUGCCGACUAGGGAUCGGAUGAUGUUAUUUUUAAUGACUCAUUCGGCGCCUUACGGG